GUUGUCCGAGUCCAGCUGCGAGCUGUUUGGCAGCUGGGGACAGUUGUCCUUGGUGUCCUGAUGCCCGUCCCCAUCGCUGCUCAGAAGAAAGGGCGACAAGUACCGUCUGAAAACGAUUUCUCUGUGUAUCCCUGGCUGGCCUGGAACUCACUCUGCAGACCCGCCUGCCUCUGCCUCCCUGAGUGCUGGGAUUAAAGGUGUGCCACCACCACACCCGGCUGUACCUCGACAUUCUUGAUGCCAUCACCAUCAGCAUCGUCAUCACAUUGGUCCCCGACACCAUCAUUAUCAGCAUCUUCUUGCCCAGAGUUGGGUGUCAAAAGGCAAUUGUCCUGGGGUUCAGAGGGAGGAAGAGGAUGGGUCCGGGUUACCUGGCAAGACACUGCACCAUUGCGUUCAAAGAGACAGAAAGCCACAUAGACUACACAGUCUGACCUGUUUACUGGCCCGAGCAUAGUCGAUGCCCACACCAGACACUCGGGUGCCCUUGUACCCUGGAGGGCAGGCCUCACAGUGGAAGCCAGGCAUGGUGUUGAUGCAACUGGAGCCCGGGAAACAGGGGUCAGAGUGAGCACACUGCGGACCAAAUGAGAAGGCAGAAGUCAGGCAUUUGCCUGGGAAGGAUUUCCCUGUGUAGCUUUGAAGCCUGUCCUGGAACUCUCUCUGUAGACCA
Molecule: long non-coding RNA, 673 nt
Organism: Myodes glareolus (Bank vole)
Lineage: Eukaryota; Metazoa; Chordata; Mammalia; Rodentia; Cricetidae
Source: RefSeq, a predicted model, not a curated record